GGACUACUCGGGUUUCUAAUCCCGUUUGCUCCCCUGGCUUUCGCGCCUCAGCGUCAGCAGAGGUCCAGCACGUCGCUUUCGCCACCGGCGUUCCUUCCGAUAUCUACGCAUUUCACCGCUCCACCGGAAGUUCCACAUGCCCCUACCUCCCUCAAGACCAUCAGUAUCCAUGGCACGGCCCCAGUUAAGCUGGGGGAUUUCACCACGGACUGGAUGACCCGCCUACGCGCCCUUUAAGCCCAGUGAUUCCGAACAACGUUCGCACGGUUCGUCUUACCGCGGCGGCUGGCAC
This 292-nucleotide ribosomal RNA is filed under the name uncultured Planctomycetota bacterium. RNAcentral describes it as "uncultured planctomycete partial 16S ribosomal RNA". Lineage: Bacteria; Pseudomonadati; Planctomycetota. The record is from RNAcentral.